UACAGCGGCGUACGGGUGAGUAACACGUGGGUAAUCUACCUCUUAGUGGGGAAUAACCCUGGGAAACCGGGGCUAAUACCGCAUAAGCCUGCAAAGGGAAAGCAGCAAUGCGCUGAGAGAGGAGCCCGCGGCCGAUUAGCUAGUUGGUGAGGUAACGGCUCACCAAGGCGGUGAUCGGUAGCCGGCCUGAGAGGGCACACGGCCACACUGGCACUGAAACACGGGCCAG
Molecule: ribosomal RNA, 229 nt
Filed under: uncultured bacterium
Lineage: Bacteria
Description: partial 16S ribosomal RNA
Rfam family: Bacterial small subunit ribosomal RNA
Source: RNAcentral